UGGGAUUCGAAAUAUAUUUAACACCGUUUCUCGUGAAAGUACCUUACGUGCGAAACAAUUGUCAGCGUCUUCGGUGACGAGAAGGAGAGGGAGCAGCUAAAAAAUGGAUCAUCACGUGGUGAGAAAGAGAUAGAUGUCGGCUGUACCUGUCUCUUUAAAAGAGUGCUACAGGCAUUCGAGAGCGGUCUGCGAGAGAAUCACUUACCAUCACAGGUCGAGGAAGGGGAAAGAAGAGAAAGGAGUUAGUCAUGAGCGUAAAUGAGAGCGAAAGCAGUGACGGAGGAGACAUCCGGCAGAGACUCGGAGCUCGCGCGGAUGCGAGCAAUCACGGAUGACUGAAACUUUCUAUUAAUAAAUUUAAAGAAAUUGUUUAUAUUUAGAGAAAUUGUUGAAUUGUUGCCCGGGAGACGAACAAGGAAAGGGUAAAUUUGUACGCUAGAUUUUUUUUCUUUUUACAGAAAAAAUUGUAUGCCCAUAACAACGAAAAAAUUUUUGCUUAAUGAUUUUUUACCAGUAAAAAAAGUGUUACACUUAACGUAGCGAGAUUUUAGUGCAAAAUUUAAGUCUGAAACACAAGAUUAACGCGGAGGUGGGGGUGUACAUACAUAAAAUUUCUUCUUCUUCUCUUUCUUUUUCUUUAUGGCUAAUUAGACUUCUAUAAAAUUUGCCUAUAGGUCAGUUGAUGUAACAUAUAUGUAAAACGUGAUAUGAACUGAAAUCAGCACGUAAGAAGAUCCGUGUAAGGUCGACACGUAUCCUCAAAUGUCCUCGCCAUCGGACCAAGAAUACUGUCCUUACUAUCAUGGUUAACGUUGGUUUAACGUUGUCGUUGAAUAAUAUAUAUCUAUAUGUAACCGUUACAUAUGUGUCGUGUACUCUCCGCUUAUACACUUCUACUAGCACGAUGUUUUCGGUUGAAUAAUAUAUAAUAGCUUUAUAUAAUAUACAUAUAAUACAUAUUACAUAAAAUCUGGCAAGCUCGAAAUAUAUAUAUAAAUGAUGUAAAUAAGACAUAUUCUUGAAAAAUUAUUGUGUGUGUAUGUGAAAAAGCAUAUGUUUAACAUAUAAUUUCUUUCGUGAUAAUACAAAAUUUGUAUUGUCGUUUUUUCAAGAAAAUACAAAGGAAUCUCAGAAUAUU
This is a long non-coding RNA of Formica exsecta, 1138 nucleotides long. RefSeq lists it as uncharacterized. The record is from RefSeq and is a predicted model, not a curated record. The transcript is spliced from 2 exons. NCBI's taxonomy places the organism in Eukaryota, Metazoa, Arthropoda, Insecta, Hymenoptera, Formicidae.